CCUACGGGCGGCAGCAGUGGGGCAUAUUGCACAAUGGGCGAAAGCCUGAUGCAGCAACGCCGCGUGAAGGACGAAGGGUUUCGGCUCGUAAACUUCUAUCAACCGGGACGACAGAAAUGACGGUACCUGCAUUAGAAGCCCCGGCUAACUACGUGCCAGCAGCCGCGGUAAUACGGAGGGGGCCAGCGUUAUCCGGAAUUACUGGGUGUAAAGGGUGAGUAGGCGGGAUGGUAAGCCAGAUGUGAAAGCCUUGGGCUUAACCCGAGGAUUGCAGUUGGAACUAUCAAGCUAGAGUACAGGAGAGGAAAGCGGAAUGCCUAGUGUAGCGGUGAAAUGCGUAGAUAUUAGGAAGAACACCAGGGGCGAAGGCGGCUUUCUGGACUGAAACUGACGCUGAGGCACGAAAGCGUGGGGAGCGAACAGGAUUAGAUACCCUGGUAGUC
RNAcentral lists this ribosomal RNA (443 nucleotides) under uncultured bacterium. RNAcentral's name for it is "partial 16S ribosomal RNA". It matches the Rfam family "Bacterial small subunit ribosomal RNA", at positions 338 to 795 of the family's 1533-position model. The record is from RNAcentral.